UACGGGGGGGGCAAGCGUUGUUCGGAAUUACUGGGCGUAAAGGGCUCGUAGGCGGCCAACUAAGUCCGACGUGAAAUCCCCAGGCUUAACCUGGGAACUGCGCCGGAUACUGGAUGGCUUGAAUUCGGGAGAGGGAUGCAGAAUUCCAGGUGUAGCGGUGAAAUGCGUAGAUAUCUGGAGGAAUACCGGUGGCGAAGGCGGCAUCCUGGACCGACAUUGACGCUGAUGAGCGAAAGCUAGGGGAGCAAACGGG
Molecule: ribosomal RNA, 253 nt
Filed under: uncultured bacterium
Lineage: Bacteria
Description: partial 16S ribosomal RNA
Rfam family: Bacterial small subunit ribosomal RNA
Source: RNAcentral